CCCCUAGAUGUUCUGGGCCGCACGCGCGCUACACUGAACAGUUCAACAAGUCUUAACCUUGGCCGAUAGGUCUGGGUAAUCUUUGAACGCUGUUCGUGAUUGGGAUAGACCUUUGCAAUUAUGGGUCUUCAACGAGGAAUUCCUAGUAAACGCAAGUCAUCAGCUUGCAUUGAUUACGUCCCUGCCCUUUGUACCCACCGCCCGUCGCACCUACCGAUUGAAUGGUCCGGUGAAAUCUCGGGACGGCGGCUUGGUCGCUUGCGUCCGACUGCUGAAACUUGAUUAAACCAUAUCAUUUAGAGGAAGGUGAAGUCGUAACA
RNAcentral lists this ribosomal RNA (320 nucleotides) under uncultured eukaryote. Its description in RNAcentral is "partial 18S ribosomal RNA". It matches the Rfam family "Eukaryotic small subunit ribosomal RNA", at positions 1470 to 1796 of the family's 1831-position model. The record is from RNAcentral.